CCCUUAGAUGUUCUGGGCCGCACGCGCGCUACACUGAUGAAUGCAACGAGCUCUACCCUUGACCGAAAGGCCCGGGUAAACUUGUGAAACUUCAUCGCGAUGGGGAUAGAUUAUUGCAAUUAUUAAUCUUCAACGAGGAAUUCCUAGUAAGCGCGAGUCAUCAGCUCGCGUUGAUUACGUCCCUGCCCUUUGUACACACCGCCCGUCGCUCCUACCGAUUGAAUGGUCCGGUGAAAUCUUCGGAUUGCUGACCAAGAUCCAGCAAUGGAGCUUGGUUGCGAGAAGUUGAUUAAACCUUAUUAUUUAGAGGAAGGAGAAGUCGUAACA
RNAcentral lists this ribosomal RNA (327 nucleotides) under uncultured eukaryote. Its description in RNAcentral is "partial 18S ribosomal RNA". It matches the Rfam family "Eukaryotic small subunit ribosomal RNA", at positions 1470 to 1796 of the family's 1831-position model. The record is from RNAcentral.